This 253-nucleotide ribosomal RNA is filed under the name uncultured bacterium. RNAcentral describes it as "partial 16S ribosomal RNA". It matches the Rfam family "Bacterial small subunit ribosomal RNA", at positions 524 to 776 of the family's 1533-position model. The record is from RNAcentral.
UACGAAGGGUGCAAGCGUUGCUCGGAAUUAUUGGGCGUAAAGGGGAGGUAGGUGGUCUCGUUUGUCUGGGGUGAAAACCCCGAGCUUAACUCGGGAAGUGCCUCAGAAACGGCGAGACUAGAGUGCUGGAGAGGGUAGCGGAAUUCCCGGUGUAGCGGUGAAAUGCGUAGAGAUCGGGAGGAACACCAGAGGCGAAGGCGGCUACCUGGACAGUUACUGACACUAAACUCCGAAAGCGUGGGUAGCAAACAGG